CCUACGGGAGGCAGCAGUGAGGAAUAUUGGGCAAUGGACGAGAGUCUGAACGAGCCAAGUAGCGUGAAGGAUGACGGCCCUAGGGUUUGUAAACUUCUUUUAUAUGGGAAUAAAAUGUUCCACGUGUGGGAUUUUGUAUGGACCAUAUGAAUAAGGAUAGGCUAAAUCCGUGCCAGCAGCCGCGGUAAUACGGUGGAUCCGAGCGUUAUCCGGAUUGAUUGGGUUGAAAGUGAGCGUAGGUGGAUUGUUAAGUCAGUUGUGAAAGUUUGCGGCUCAACCGUAAAAUUGCAGUUGAAACUGGGAGUCUUGAGUACAGUAGAGGUGGGCGGAAUUCGUGGUGUAGCGGUGAAAUGCUUAGAUAUCACGAAGAACUCCGAUGGCGAAGGCAGUUCACUGGACUGCAACUGACGCUGAGGCUCGAAAGUGUGGGGAUCAAACAGGAUUAGAUACCCUUGUAGUC
RNAcentral lists this ribosomal RNA (460 nucleotides) under uncultured bacterium. Its description in RNAcentral is "partial 16S ribosomal RNA". It matches the Rfam family "Bacterial small subunit ribosomal RNA", at positions 338 to 795 of the family's 1533-position model. The record is from RNAcentral.